GUCAUCCCUUAUAACCCGUUACCCGCUUUCGGACUGGGUCGCUGCGGCGCACUCCCUACUUCCAGAAGCCUAACAUUUGGAGAAAGUCAUCCCUUCUUCGCUUUCACUGCCAUGGAUUUCUUCUUCGUGGCCGAUUGAUACACGGUCGUCGGCGCCAUUA
Molecule: ribosomal RNA, 160 nt
Filed under: uncultured bacterium
Lineage: Bacteria
Description: partial 16S ribosomal RNA
Source: RNAcentral